This 790-nucleotide long non-coding RNA is filed under the name Eucalyptus grandis. Its description in RNAcentral is "long non-coding RNA (EGRA_LNC007652)". Lineage: Eukaryota; Viridiplantae; Streptophyta; Magnoliopsida; Myrtales; Myrtaceae. The record is from RNAcentral.
CGGAAUCAUAGUCAUAGCUCCUUCAGGAAAAAUUCCACAUUUAGAGUACCGCAAUGAAUGCAACAAUGUCAAAGUUCUCAAUUGAAGACAUUCUUAGAACCGAAAGAGGAGAGGAAAGGGAAGUUACGAAUAAAGAAGAAAAAGAAUGCCCUUCGCAAUUGUUCUAGCACUAUCUUUGUCGGCUUACGGUCCCUUGGCAGUGUUCUGAGCUUCUAAGGCUCAAACACUCAGCAUCGGCUUCUCCAAUUUUCGUCUACAACGGCCUGGUAGCCGCUUCUGGAAUGACAAUCGCCUGCCGGUUGGGUGAGUAGGACGGGGAGGACUUGUAUGCAGGCAGACAGUACGAGGGAUGAACGGCCGCAGUGCAAGGGAUGCGGCAAACCCAAGGCCGACGCCGUACAUUUGAACAUUUGAAAUGGCUCUACGUGAUGGUGGCAAGCCCGAAGAUGUGCGCACACACCCGUUACUCCAAUCAGAAGCUGCGGCUAUUCAUCAUCUGUCAGCUACCGCAAACACCCUCAUGCCCAGAGAAGCCCGACUGGAAGUGCGCCGUCGCUCCAGACCACGUGACCCCAGAAAUGUGCUCUUACGAUGCCUUCUCGUCGAGGACCUCCCCGAGCAUGAGUCGCUUCUUCGAGAGACGGCGUCCCCUCGUUCCGAUGCUCUGCUUCAAGAACGCCGAGAAGCGUCUCGAAGAGCUCGAAGCGUCGAACGAGAGAGGCUGAGGCGCAAGAUGGAGGCGUGCGGGGCCAGAGUUCGAGGAAGAUAAGCAGGCGAGCGAAGGCCAAAG